UCCAGGGUAGCCUAGUGGACAUGGCAUCUGCCCGGUAGGCGGAACACUGUGUGUUCGAUUCCCAUCCCUGGAC
RNAcentral lists this transfer RNA (73 nucleotides) under Cordylochernes scorpioides. RNAcentral describes it as "tRNA-Thr". It matches the Rfam family "tRNA". From Rfam's summary of the family: Transfer RNA (tRNA) molecules are approximately 80 nucleotides in length. Their secondary structure includes four short double-helical elements and three loops (D, anti-codon, and T loops). Lineage: Eukaryota; Metazoa; Arthropoda; Arachnida; Pseudoscorpiones; Chernetidae. The record is from RNAcentral.